AACACCGGUUGAUCCUGCCGGAGGCCACUGCUAUCGGGUUCCGACUAAGCCAUGCGAGUCAUGGGGUCGUAAGACACCGGCGCACGGCUCAGUAACACGCGGAUAAUCUAUCCUCUGGUGGGGGAUAACCUCGGGAAACUGAGGCUAAUACCCCAUAGAUAUUCAAUGCUGGAAGGCUUGGAUAUUGAAAGCGCAAGCGCCAGAGGGUGAGUCUGCGGCCUAUCAGGUAGUAGGUGGUGUAACGGACCACCUAGCCUAAGACGGGUACGGGCCUUGAGAGAGGGAGCCCGGAGAUGGGUUCUGAGACACGAACCCAGGCCCUACGGGGCGCAGCAGGCGCGAAACCUUCGCACUGCGCGAAAGCGCGACGAGGGGAACCCGAGUGCCUCUCCAUUUCGGGGAGGCUUUUCACAAGCCUAAAAAGCUUGUGGAAUAAGGGCUGGGCAAGACGGGUGCCAGCCGCCGCGGUAAUACCCGCAGCUCGAGUGGUGGUCGCUUUUAUUGAGCCUAAAACGUUCGUAGUCGGCCUUGUAAAUCCCUGGGUAAAUUGGGCCGCUUAACGGUUCAAAUUCCGGGGAGACUGCAAGGCUAGGGACCGGGCGAGGUCAGAGGUACUUUCGGGGUAGGAGUGAAAUCCUGUAAUCCCGAAGGGACCACCUGUGGCGAAAGCGUCUGACUUGAACGGCUCCGACGAUGAGGAACGAAGGCUAGGGGAGCAAACCGGAUUAGAUACCCGGGUAGUCCUAGCUGUAAACUCUGCCCGCUUGGUGUGGCCUGUCCUUCGGGGGCAGGCCGUGCCGGAGCGAAGGUGUUAAGCGGGCUGCUUGGGGAGUACGGCCGCAAGGUUGAAACUUAAAGGAAUUGGCGGGGGAGCACCGCAACGGGAGGAUGCGUGCGGUUUAAUUGGAUUCAACGCCGGAAAACUCACCUGAGGAGACCAGCGUAUGUGGGUCAAGCCGAAGACUUUACCCGAACAACAGCUGGAGAGGUGGUGCAUGGCCAUCGUCAGCUCGUACCGUAGGGCAUUCACUUAAGUGUGAUAACGAGCGAGACCCCCAUCCCUAGUUGCUAACCCCUCCGAAAGGAGGGGUGCACUCUAGGGAGACCGCUUCCGCUAAGGAAGAGGAAGGAGGGGUCGACGGUAGGUCAGUAUGCCCCGAAUCCUCAGGGCAACACGCGCGCUACAAAGGACAGGACAAUGGGUUCCAACCCCGAAAGGGGAAGGUAAUCCCGAAACCUGUUCGUAGUCCGGAUUGAGGGCUGUAACUCGCCCUCAUGAAGGUGGAUUCCGUAGUAAUCGCGGAUCAACAGUCCGCGGUGAAUAUGCCCCUGCUCCUUGCACACACCGCCCGUCAAACCAUCCGAGUUGGCUUUGGGUGAGGCCCUGCCGUCGUGGCAGGUUCGAACCCAGGGUCGGCGAGGAGGGUUAAGUCGUAACAAGGUAUCCGUAGGGGAACCUGCGGAUGGAUCACCUCCUA
RNAcentral lists this ribosomal RNA (1478 nucleotides) under Methanobacteriota archaeon. RNAcentral describes it as "bacterial SSU rRNA". It matches the Rfam family "Archaeal small subunit ribosomal RNA". Lineage: Archaea; Methanobacteriati; Methanobacteriota. The record is from RNAcentral.